Molecule: long non-coding RNA, 773 nt
Filed under: Rhagoletis pomonella (apple maggot)
Lineage: Eukaryota; Metazoa; Arthropoda; Insecta; Diptera; Tephritidae
Description: uncharacterized LOC118751593
Source: RNAcentral
UUUGUUAUCGCAAGGCUCGGAUCGAAAUCGAUUUGAAAAGUGUUUCUGUAACUCAGGGCCUGUGCCAAUUGAUAGAAAAGUUCUCUGGAUAAUAAAUUUUUGACAGCUAUGAGGUGAAUAAAAAUGUUUGAUACGGCAGGGCUAGUGAAAAAUUUGAAAGCAAGCAUUAUCAAGAAGAAGAACGAACAACGCACGUAUACACAUAAAUUAAAGAAAAAAAAAGCGAGUGGAAAUAAAAGAACAUGGUCCCGCCGGCAAAAAAAAUAAAGAAAAGCUAUAUAACUUGGAGCAGUUCAGAACGCAGAAUCCUUCUGGAAAAGCGCAUUGACAAGGAUGUUUGGUUCAGUUCAAAGAACGCCAACAGCAACGAAGGCUGGAAGUGAGUAAGAAUAUAAAUAAUUUGAAGACUUUAUUAAGCAAAUGACUUCGUACUCCACUGACCAUCCGUGGCGCUUUUUGGGAAUGUGAGUUACAAUUUUUCGAAACGAAGCAGAGGACAACCUAAGAUACAUUUUUGUAGUGUUGUUAUCGCCGUUCAUAAUGCUGCUUAGUAUUUUGGAAUAAACGUCUUGUUGCAUGUACAUAAUACCCUAAAACGACAUAUGUUUUUAUUGGAAACAAUUGUACACGGUUUUAAACAUUUUUGUGAACACACUUACCAGACGGUUUUGACGUGUUUUUAUUUCUAAUAUUACUGCUAAAAGGUCUAAUAAAUGCAUGGAUUUCAGUUCCAGAAGAAUUGAAAUCAUCAAAGGCAAAUAUUUUCUAUAUAA